GACGAACGCUGGCGGCGUGCUUAACACAUGCAAGUCGAACGGAAAGGCCCUGCUUUUGUGGGGUGCUCGAGUGGCGAACGGGUGAGUAACACGUGAGUAACCUGCCCUUGACUUUGGGAUAACUUCAGGAAACUGGGGCUAAUACCGGAUAGGAGCUCCUGCUGCAUGGUGGGGGUUGGAAAGUUUCGGCGGUUGGGGAUGGACUCGCGGCUUAUCAGCUUGUUGGUGGGGUAGUGGCUUACCAAGGCUUUGACGGGUAGCCGGCCUGAGAGGGUGACCGGCCACAUUGGGACUGAGAUACGGCCCAGACUCCUACGGGAGGCAGCAGUGGGAAAUAUUGCACAAUGGGCGGAAGCCUGAUGCAGCAGCGCCGCGUGCGGAAUGACGGCCUUCGGGUUGUAAACCGCUUUCGCCUGUGACGAAGCGUGAGUGACGGUAAUGGGUAAAGAAGCACCGGCUAACUACGUG
This 468-nucleotide ribosomal RNA is filed under the name uncultured bacterium. Its description in RNAcentral is "partial 16S ribosomal RNA". It matches the Rfam family "Bacterial small subunit ribosomal RNA", at positions 28 to 507 of the family's 1533-position model. The record is from RNAcentral.